CAGAGUUUGAUCCUGCUCAGGAUGAACGCUAGCUACAGGCUUAACACAUGCAAGUCGAGGGGCAUCAGUUUGGUUUGCUUGCAAACCAAAGCUGGCGACCGGCGCACGGGUGAGUAACACGUAUCCAACCUGCCUCAUACUCGGGGAUAGCCUUUCGAAAGAAAGAUUAAUAUCCGAUAGCAUAUAUUUCCCGCAUGGGUUUUAUAUUAAGAAAUUCGGUAUGAGAUGGGGAUGCGUUCCAUUAGUUUGUUGGCGGGGUAACGGCCCACCAAGACUACGAUGGGAUAGGGGUUCUGGAGAGGAAGGUCCCCCACAUUCGGAACUGAGACACGGUCCAAACUCCUCGGGAGGCA
This 353-nucleotide ribosomal RNA is filed under the name uncultured bacterium. Its description in RNAcentral is "bacterial SSU rRNA". It matches the Rfam family "Bacterial small subunit ribosomal RNA", at positions 8 to 350 of the family's 1533-position model. The record is from RNAcentral.